This 316-nucleotide long non-coding RNA is filed under the name Malus domestica (apple). Its description in RNAcentral is "long non-coding RNA (MDOM_LNC006300)". Lineage: Eukaryota; Viridiplantae; Streptophyta; Magnoliopsida; Rosales; Rosaceae. The record is from RNAcentral.
GGAAAGCUGAUGUUGCGUGUGGAAAGUGGUGCCUCUUCGAAAUCCGGAGAGUGGUGCCUAUUCGAUUUUUGAACCAACGGCCUUGUUGCCCUUUCUUUUAUAAGGACACCAAUUGUGUGCAAUGAGUACAUUCAUAGAGUUAUUGAUUGUUGGAAUUUUCCCCUUACUUCAGAGAUUUAUUGCACCUCAUUUCUCCUUCAUCAUUUCUGAGAAUGUCUGGCCCAUCCGACCGUCGUUUUGACUUGAACUUUGGUGAAGAGGCAGUUAUGCCUUCUCAAGAAAACAUAUGGCGCCCAUCCUUCUUAUCCCCUACUGG